Haplochromis burtoni (Burton's mouthbrooder) is the source of this 1863-nucleotide long non-coding RNA. RefSeq lists it as uncharacterized. The transcript is spliced from 4 exons. The record is from RefSeq and is a predicted model, not a curated record. NCBI's taxonomy places the organism in Eukaryota, Metazoa, Chordata, Actinopteri, Cichliformes, Cichlidae.
UAACGCUCGUAGUUUGUCCGAUAUACAUGUCACUAUUGAUAAGAGUUUGAUUCUGCCAUGACAGAAAAUGAUAUUGACCAGCAUGAUCAUUGCAGCUCUGACAACUGCUCCUCUGGCACAAGGGUUUUCAGAGUGUAAUCUAACUCAGCCUAGAUCCCAUAAGUGUUUUGGAAUAUUGGGACAACCACUCAGUUUUUACUUACCUACUAGUCUAAACACAAUGAUCGGAUUGAAGAAGAAUACGGAUAUUAUUUUAAGCUUAAAAAAUUACUCCUUACUAAAUAUAAAUGAAGAAUACAAGAGUCGUUCUACAUUCUUCACAAAUGGAACAUUUAUGCUCAGCAGUGCAACAAAAAAUGAUUCUGGAGAGUACACGAUGGAAAAACACUCAUCUAAUGGUUUGUCAUUGCACAAAAUAAUUGUAGAAUUGGACAUACUAGGUAAGACAACAAUUCCCAUUUUCUUCAUAUAAUAUAUGUGUAACAGCAAUAGUGCAUAUGAUAUGGAUUUACUGUAAAGGAGAAAAUAAACAAAUUUCAUUACAAAUGUCUUUAUGCAUGCUCACCGUUUUCAGUGGGAGAAACAUUUGAAAACGUUCCGUCCAGAUGAACAGAAUCAACCCUUUGGGGUACAUUACAAAUCCCCAUUCGUUUUAAAUGUUUUGUGCCUAGAUUAAAAAUGUUUGUUUUCAAGCAGUUUGUCUAAAAGUCAAAAUUUGCCACCUGCAUUUUCUUUAGUGAGUUUUCAAAGUCCCUGGAAGCAGAGUUUCUAUAGUAUUUUUAUAUCAAUUAUUUUGAUGUAAUACUACUCUUUAUUUUUUUUAUACACGUAAUAACUAGUUGCAUAGAUGACAUAUACAACUGCUGUGUUGCAUCUUUUACUGUAGACAGCUCUUAAACAUACUUUGUAAACUACAGUUAUGCAGUACAUUUAUCAACUAAUGUCUCUAAAGAAGUAAUUUGUUUAAUAGUUUCUAGUUCUUCUAGGCAACAGUUUCCAGUUGGCAUCACAUUUUUAAGUGACUAUAAAUUUUUUUUUCAGCCCCUGUGUCAGAACCAGCUAUAUCACAGACGUGUUUGUCACCAGAACAGAAGACAGUGAGCUGCUUCUCUGAAGGAGAUGAAGUAGAGUUCACGUUGUCGUUGCAUGAUAACUCAUUGAUACAGACCAGACCCAAGAAAACAGACAAACACAACGUUUUAAACAUUACCAUCAGCUUACAUGGUCAGCUGAUGGGAAUCUUGACAUGCAUUGUUCAAAACAAUGUCAGCAGAGAACAAAGAGUCAUCCGCCUUAGAAGCUGUACAGAUACAGUUUCUCACCUCUCUGUUGUGAAUGUGGUUGUGGUGACAAGCAUUUCCAUUCUACUUCUGGUUUUGGCCCUAUUUCUUGGUAUGAAAUGUUUCAAUAAGACAACUAACCCCAUCACCGUUAAUGAAGUUGAUGCAGAAGAGGAGGUAAUCUACUCAGAUGUCAGAGUGAAGCAACAAACAAAGAAAACAACAACCGCUUCACUUCAAAAUGCAAAUUAAUUUCCUAAUGAAACAUGAGAAAAUGAAAUUACAUAUAAUUUCUCUGUACAUAGCAAAUGCUUAAGGUUAAACCCUGGCUUCUCUCCUUUCCAUGCAAAAUAUCACUGGGUGGAAUGCUAACCCCAAGUUGCUCUGUGAUGCAUCGUAGUAUGAAUCUUGUGAAUGGAAAGUGCUGUGUGUGAAUGAGGCAACUUGUAUAAAGUGAUGUGAUAGAGUAGAAAAGUGCUAUAUAAGAACCAGCACAUUUACCUUGUUUUUGUUUGUUUGUUUUUGUUGUUGUUGCUUUUGUUAUUUUACUAUUUUUCCCUAUCUACAAUAGAAAUGUCUUUAA